Molecule: long non-coding RNA, 1286 nt
Filed under: Nicotiana benthamiana
Lineage: Eukaryota; Viridiplantae; Streptophyta; Magnoliopsida; Solanales; Solanaceae
Description: long non-coding RNA (NBEN_LNC027796)
Source: RNAcentral
UGAAGAAUGUAACUUACUGCCUUAAACGAGUUUGCAACUUGGCUUACACUUGUAUAUUGUACUAAAAAGACAAGCCCAACGACCUUCAAGGUCGCACAUCUCUUGGUUCAAUCUUAUACACUUUUUGCUUACGUUUUGAACCUGAAUAACACUGAAGAUAACUAGUCAUUAAUGAACAUGUCUAAGUGAUAAAAAACUUAAAAAGCACAAGCAAUAACAUAUUAAAAUAGGAGCUGGAUUGUGUUUCCGUCCCCUCAUUAAUCAAGGCCUCUCACAUAAAUGGCAAAUACAAACUGUUGCACUUUAUAUGUGCAACCAUAAAAAGAUGCUACUUCACAAUGCUUUAAAAUAAAUUCCUUAAAAUAUAUUUAACCAUACGAACCCUAAAUUUUUUGCUCCUAAAAGAUUAACAACUUCAAAGAGUACAUUUAUUGUUGGUUAAUGAAGUUGCUUGGACAGAUGCAAAAGUGGAACAAAUAGUGAAAUAAAUAUCCAUAUGAAGUUUAAAAACCAGAGUAAUGUAGAAAUUGGGACCUAGCAGAAGAAAUAUUUCCACAAACUUAAGAAAUAUUACAUUUUAACAUACAAAUCUUUGAAACUUUAUUUUCAACAAUUCGUGGAUGUUAUUUCAUAAUUUCAAUGUUAGAAGUUUUGACAUUUGUUACAUUCUUUUUUUAAUAACUAAGAAAUACCUGAGGAUUAGCUGAUGCACGGAGGUCGCAAGAGCUUUUAUGAAACCGGAAAGAAUGACAAUAGAAGUAUAGAACUAGGAAGCACCCGACCGGACUAAUAAGAAGGUAAUAUAAUCAAUUAGGUGAUUAGCUGAUGCACGGAGGUCGCCGGAGCUUUUAUGAGCGUUGCUCUUUUGCUCGUGUUAUUGCUAAGCAGAAAGUGAAGACUGAAAACCCUUCUAUUUUUUGGUGAAGAUUGAAGAGAAGUGGGCUGAAGAAGGGAGGAAAAUAGGGUUAGCCAGGGACUUAACUUAAGAAGUAAACGGAAAGGGUAGUAUUAUAAAAUAAGGGUAUAUUUGUCUUUUUGGUAUUUUUAUUGGUUUAUCGAUAAAUCGAAAGGAAAAAUCGAAUCGAAAUCGAUAACUCGAUAAGUAAAAUUUCGAAAUCGAAAUCGAUAAACCGAUAAACCGAUAUCGAUAAAUCGAAAACAAAUAAUCGACUCGAUUUAUCGAUAAAUCGCACACCCCUAAUAAUAUUCCAGGUUAAGAAAGGUAUGUAUAACUGACAUCUUUAAAAUUUUAAUUGACGAUGGUUGAAUGGUUUUCAUAAAUGAAA